CUGGAUAUUAGACCUUUGUCAGAUGGCUAGGUUGCAAAUAUUUUCUCCCUUUCUGUGAGCUGUUUACUCUGUUGAUAGUUUCUUUUGCCGUAAAGAAGCUCUUUAGUUUAAUUAGGUCCCAUUUGCCAAUUUUUGUUUUUCUUGCAAUUACUUUUGGCAUCUUUGUCAUGAAGAUCAUUUCCAGGUCCUAUGUCCGCAAUGGUAUUUCCUAGGUUAUCGUCCAAGGUUUUAAUAUGUUUUCAUUUUAGAUUUAAGUUUUUAAUCCUGCCUUUGCCUCCCAAAGUGCUGGGAUUACAAGCGUGAGCUACCACACCCAGCGAGGAAGCCAAGUUUAACGUGUGUGCUCCACUCCUCCAACCUGGCCAAAGGGCAGUCAUCAUCACUGGCCACUACUGACCACAGCCUUUAGAAACUCCCCUUGAACGUGCUGGGCUGACCUUCCUCUGAUCACAGGCAAGGUAACCAUACACUCAAGGCCAAUGAUCCCAUCUGCUGUGGGCUGGCUCAUGCUCCCAAUGCUUACAGAACCUGGGAGGCAGAGGAAAACUCUGCCCAUCCCAUGGGACGUUACCUGUAAGCUUUGAACACCAGAAUCUUGAGGCCCAUCUCUUUCUGGAAGGCUUUGUCUUCCUCUAAACCAGGAAGCUGGAGCAAUUCCACCAGAUUCUGUACAACAGAUGCAACAAGAAAAUUCAUGAAGAGUAGAUCUUAGGUUGAAUUUUUCACAGAAGACCUUGUAAGAGCAGACAAUGGUGAGAAAAAAAAAGCCCGAGGUCAAUACAAUGGGGAAAAGCCUGUGAAGUGACCUGGCAGCAGCCACACCUGCUGUCACCUCCAUUCCCCUCUCAUCUUGGAAACAGAUUUGCCCUUUACAACUCAACUCAUAGCUCACCCGCCUUCAGAGACUUCUUGGCCCAUCUUAGCUGGAAGGGAUCUGUUCCAGCGCUGAGCUUUUAUUUUGCUUAGCAUCUACUCAGAUGCCUUGACUGUGUGCGUCUCACAGUCCUACUGACUGACAAACUCCCUGGGGGCCGAGAUGGCAUGGAUUCAGGUCUCAGAUGCUCUAUGGCACCUGGGAGCAUCUUACACAGGUGAAGUGCUCAGUGAUGAUCUGGGGUCACUAUUCUCUGCAGAUCAGCAUGUCUGAGAGGUAGGGGCUCACAGCCUGUGGAACUGGUGUAAGACCUUUGUCUUUUCCCGGCUACUAACAGGUCCUGCUUGUCACAGCCCUUCCAUGAUACAAAGUUAAGUCAUUUUGUGUCUGACACAGGCAAAGGAAAACGACAGGCCCUUGCCUUCCUGGUCCUCAAGGGUCAGCUGUAAGAUGAUGUCAUAAAGCCGGAUCAGGUCCUGGGGCCGGGGGAAGCACUUGCUGUCAUCCUCUGGCUGCUGCUGCAGCAGAGCCCUCUGCAGACCUUUGGCCAUGCUCUCAUUACGCUUGAUUGCCAUUGACAGCUUGAUGUAAGUCAGGUUGUAGAUGAGCAUGAGAGUGUGGAGCAGAGUCGGCGAGCGCAAGUCGAGCCCAUCAUCCUGGACAGCCGUCUCCGUGCCUUCCCCAGUGAGGAAGAGCUAGGGGAAGAUGAGAUGUACUACUGUUCCAAGUGUAAGACCCACUGCUUAGCAACAAAGAAGCUGGAUCUCUGGAGGCUUCCACCCUUCCUGAUUAUUCACCUUAAGCGAUUUCAAUUUGUAAAUGAUCAGUGGAUAAAAUCACAGAAAAUUGUCAAAUUUCCUCGGGAAAGUUUUGAUCCGAGUGCUUUUUUGGUACCACGAGACCCGGCUCUCUGCCAGCAUCAACCACUCACACCCCAGGGGGAUGAGCUCUCCAAGCCCAGGAUUCUGGCAAGAGAGGUGAAGAAAGUGGAUGUGCAGAGUUUGGCUGGG
This 1884-nucleotide long non-coding RNA is filed under the name Pan troglodytes (chimpanzee). RNAcentral describes it as "long non-coding RNA NONPTRT006802". The record is from RNAcentral. Lineage: Eukaryota; Metazoa; Chordata; Mammalia; Primates; Hominidae.